Molecule: ribosomal RNA, 513 nt
Filed under: uncultured bacterium
Lineage: Bacteria
Description: partial 16S ribosomal RNA
Rfam family: Bacterial small subunit ribosomal RNA
Source: RNAcentral
GACGAACGCUGGCGGCAUGCCUAAUACAUGCAAGUCGAGCGAACGGAUGAAGUGCUUGCACUUCUGACGUUAGCGGCGAACGGGUGAGUAACACGUAAGGAAUCUACCUAUAAGUGGGGGAUAACAUUCGGCAACGGGUGCUAAUACCGCAUAAUAUCUUCUUCCGCAUGGAAGAAGAUUGAAAGCAGGCUCUGCUGUCCCUUAUAGAUGACCUUGCGGUGCAUUAGUUAGUUGGUGGGGUAAUGGCCUACCAAGACGAUGAGGCAUAGCCGACCUGAGAGGGUGAUCGGCCACAUUGGGACUGAGACACGGCCCAAACUCCUACGGGAGGCAGCAGUAGGGAAUCUUCCGCAAUGGGCGAAAGCCUGACGGAGCAAUGCCGCGUGAGUGAAGAAGGCCUUCGGGUCGUAAAACUCUGUUAUAAGAGAAGAACAGAUUGUAGAGUAACUGCUACAGUCUUGACGGUAUCUUAUCAGAAAGCCACGGCUAACUACGUGCCAGCCGCCGCAGUAA